This 417-nucleotide ribosomal RNA is filed under the name uncultured bacterium. RNAcentral describes it as "bacterial SSU rRNA". It matches the Rfam family "Bacterial small subunit ribosomal RNA", at positions 557 to 975 of the family's 1533-position model. The record is from RNAcentral.
GGCGUAAAGGGCACGCAGGCGGCUAUUUAAGUGAGGUGUGAAAUCCCCGGGCUUAACCUKGGAAUUGCAUUUCAGACUGGGUAGCUAGAGUACUUUAGGGAGGGGUAGAAUUCCACGUGUAGCGGUGAAAUGCGUAGAGAUGUGGAGGAAUACCGAAGGCGAAGGCAGCCCCUUGGGAAUGUACUGACGCUCAUGUGCGAAAGCGUGGGGAGCAAACAGGAUUAGAUACCCUGGUAGUCCACGCUGUAAACGCUGUCGAUUUGGGGAUUGGGCUUUAAGCUUGGUGCCCGUAGCUAACGUGAUAAAUCGACCGCCUGGGGAGUACGGCCGCAAGGUUAAAACUCAAAUGAAUUGACGGGGGCCCGCACAAGCGGUGGAGCAUGUGGUUUAAUUCGAUGCAACGCGAAGAACCUUACC